This 253-nucleotide ribosomal RNA is filed under the name uncultured bacterium. RNAcentral describes it as "partial 16S ribosomal RNA". It matches the Rfam family "Bacterial small subunit ribosomal RNA", at positions 524 to 776 of the family's 1533-position model. The record is from RNAcentral.
UACGGGGGGGGUAAGCGUUGUUCGGAAUUACUGGGCGUAAAGGGCUCGUAGGCGGCCAACUAAGUCAGACGUGAAAUCCCCAGGCUCAACCUGGGAACUGCGUCUGAUACUGGAUGGCUUGAAUCCGGGAGAGGGAUGCAGAAUUCCAGGUGUAGCGGUGAAAUGCGUAGAUAUCUGGAGGAAUACCGGUGGCGAAGGCGGCAUCCUGGACCGGCAUUGACGCUGAGGCGCGAAAGCUAGGGGAGCAAACGGG